AUACGGAGGAUGCGAGCGUUAUCCGGAUUUAUUGGGUUUAAAGGGUGCGUAGACGGGACUGUAAGUCAGGGGUGAAAUACUGCAGCUUAACUGUAGCAUUGCCUUUGAAACUGCCGUUCUUGAGUACAGUUGAGGUAGGCGGAAUGUGGUGUGUAGCGGUGAAAUGCAUAGAUAUACCACAGAACGCCGAUUGCGAAGGCAGCUUACUAAGCUGUUACUGACGCUGAGGCACGAAAGCGUGGGGAUCAAACAGGAUUAGAUACCCUGGUAGUCCACGCUGUAAACGAUGAUUACUGGUUGUUAGCGAUAUAUAGCUAGUGACUGAGCGAAAGCAUUAAGUAAUCCACCUGGGGAGUACGUCGGCAACGAUGAAACUUAAAUGAAUUGGCGGGG
RNAcentral lists this ribosomal RNA (393 nucleotides) under uncultured bacterium. RNAcentral's name for it is "partial 16S ribosomal RNA". It matches the Rfam family "Bacterial small subunit ribosomal RNA", at positions 523 to 918 of the family's 1533-position model. The record is from RNAcentral.